This 27-nucleotide transfer RNA is filed under the name Tlalocohyla godmani (Godman's treefrog). RNAcentral's name for it is "partial tRNA-Phe". Lineage: Eukaryota; Metazoa; Chordata; Amphibia; Anura; Hylidae. The record is from RNAcentral.
GAUGAACCAUAAAAAGUUCUUUAGACA